GUAGUUUAAAAAUUAAUUAUAAAUAAGUAGAAAUGAAUGAAUAAAUUUUUGUCAUAACAAAUAUAUUACAAUACAAUAAUUUGAACAAAUAUAUUAUAUAAAUAAUUAUCUAAUAUUAUGUUUUCAUAACAUAUUUACGGUGAAAAUGAAGUCCUCUUCACCAACUUCAUGCUAUCUUCAUGCUGUAAGUUAAUCUGCAAAAAUCUCUUAGAAAAAUUAUUGCAAUUAAAAAAGUAAUUCAUUAUUGUUGAACCAAGUGGAGUUCAAUGUUUUGAAGAAUCCAAAUCCUUUGAAGGAUGAUGAAGCCUCUGCUUUGCUUGAUGCUGCUGUGCUGGUUUCAGCCUUGUUCUGGGAUAGUUCAAUGUUGUAAUCAACACUUAGAUUAAAUCUCAAAGCAAUUAACAUCUCAAUUUUAACAAAACAAAAUGUUUUUCAAACUAAGUUGAAACAACCG
This 454-nucleotide long non-coding RNA is filed under the name Phaseolus vulgaris (common bean). RNAcentral's name for it is "long non-coding RNA (PVUL_LNC002327)". The record is from RNAcentral. Lineage: Eukaryota; Viridiplantae; Streptophyta; Magnoliopsida; Fabales; Fabaceae.